UACGGAGGGUGCAAGCGUUAUCCGGAUUCACUGGGUUUAAAGGGUGCGUAGGUGGGUUGGUAAGUCAGUGGUGAAAUCUCCGGGCUUAACCUGGAAACUGCCAUUGAUACUAUCAAUCUUGAAUACCUUGGAGGUGAGCGGAAUAUGUCAUGUAGCGGUGAAAUGCUUAGAUAUGACAUAGAACACCAAAUUGCGAAGGCAGCUCACUACACGGUCAUUGACACUGAGGCAACGAAAGCGUGGGGGAUCAAACAGG
RNAcentral lists this ribosomal RNA (256 nucleotides) under uncultured bacterium. RNAcentral describes it as "partial 16S ribosomal RNA". It matches the Rfam family "Bacterial small subunit ribosomal RNA", at positions 524 to 776 of the family's 1533-position model. The record is from RNAcentral.